RNAcentral lists this transfer RNA (68 nucleotides) under Pantoea sp. RNAcentral's name for it is "tRNA-OTHER". It matches the Rfam family "tRNA". Rfam says of the family: Transfer RNA (tRNA) molecules are approximately 80 nucleotides in length. Their secondary structure includes four short double-helical elements and three loops (D, anti-codon, and T loops). Lineage: Bacteria; Pseudomonadati; Pseudomonadota; Gammaproteobacteria; Enterobacterales; Erwiniaceae. The record is from RNAcentral.
GGCUACGUAGCUCAGCUGGUUAGNNCAUAAUGAUGGGGUCACAGGUUCAAAUCCCGUCGUAGCCACCA